Long non-coding RNA from Salvelinus fontinalis (brook trout), 6450 nucleotides. RefSeq lists it as uncharacterized. Lineage: Eukaryota; Metazoa; Chordata; Actinopteri; Salmoniformes; Salmonidae. The record is from RefSeq and is a predicted model, not a curated record. The transcript has 5 exons.
AACGCGCAACACAGACAGGAACGUAACUGCUCUCAGACUGUCUGGAGUCUGUCUGAAACUGAUAAAAUUGGAGAUGGAGUUAAUGCUCUAGCUAUGUAAAUUGAUAAGAAAUCAUGAAUUCGAAAUGGGAAUUUACAGUCACUCAACAAUGCUAGCGAUUGAAUUACGACGCAAUACAAAUCAAUAUUUAGGCUCAUGCUUUGAAAGUUUUUCAAUGUUUAUCAUCAGACAAUUCAUUAUGCACAGGUAUGAUCUUCUUCGGGUUCUGAAAAGAAGCCUAUCAGCUGAAGUUUAAGCGUAACGUGGCAUUUCAAUGGAGCAAUUAUUUGAAAGGGGCCCUUAUGACACCUUGAACCCUGUCGAUAACCCUCCCCCCAUGUCUGUAGUGAUGACACUUUUCCAGGGAUGAUGUGUGAGAGGAGGAUGGCUGUGGUGUGCACCACGAAGAAGAUGUCAUGCUGAGGAUGGGUUUCUGCACUGAUGUUUUUGGUGUGAUGUAGCGGCGGCUCUCUCACUGUGUCUCUGUUGCCCAUGAUGCGUAACCAUAGAGAGUGAUUGACAGCGUGGUCCCUACACAGCAAAGGGGGCCUGAGGAUUUUCUGAGACGUCACAAGAAGUUACUGCCAUGGAUUGAGAACCUCAACUACAAAAGGUGACGAUGCACAGAGAAGGAUUUGUGAAUGGAAGCUGUUCACGGUCUAUGCUAGAUCAUAGAUCACAUGUGCUGUGAGACCGUUGCAGUGGUGUAAAGUACUUAAGUAAAACUACUUUAAAGUACUUAAAGUAAAGUACUACUUAAAGUACUACUUUACUAUUUAUAUUUUUGCCAACUUUUACUUUUACUUCACUACAUUCCUAAAGAAAAUAAUGUACUUUUUAUUCCAAACAUUUUCCCUAACACCCAAAAGUACUCGUUACAUUUUGACAGGAAAAUUGUCAAAUUUACACACUUAUCAAGAGAACAUCCCUGGUCAUCCCUACUGCCUCAUAUCUGGCGGACUCACUAAACACAAAUGCUCCAUUUGUAAAUUGUGUCUGAGUGUUGGAGUGUGCCCCUGGCUAUCCAUCCCCCCAAAAUAACUGUGCUGUCUGGUUUGCUUAAUAUAAGGAAUUUGAAAUGGUUUAUACUUUUACUUUUGAUACUUAAGUAUAUUUAAAACCAAAUACUUUUAGACUUUUACUCAAGUGGGAUUUUACUGGGUGACUCACUUUUACUUGAUUCAUUUUCUAUUAAGGUAUCUUUACUUUUACUGAAGUAUGACAAUUGAAUACAUUUUCCACAACUGGACCGUUGCAGAUGUGCAUUAUUCGCCACCCUCCCUCUGCCACCCUCCCUCUCCCUCUCCCACCCCGGUUACCGUUCCUCCCUAUGAAUGGGGUCGCUAAGAUAUCAGCUCUGUCACCGGGGUCGGCCCAAAGCCGCCAGCUUCCUGUGCCCUUUAAAACCGGAAAGCACGUCUCUCCCAUUUGAAUAAUCUGUAUAAUUUCUGUGGUUUGUCUCGGUGAGAGCUGUUUUUUUUCUUCAUCCUAGGUCACUCAAGAGCAGAACAGUAAUAUCACAGUCAAAUCCACACGCCAUCAAUCCCGGCCUAAAACAUCCCCGUCUUUGUUUUUGCCUAUUCUUAGUAGCCUAACUGAGUGUUUUCAGAUUUCUCUGAAAUUACAUUUACAUUUACAUUUAAGUCAUUUAGCAGACGCUCUUAUCCAGAGCGACUUACAACUUGGAAAGUUCAUACAUAUUCAUCCUGGUCCCCCCGUGGGAAUUGAACCCACAACCCUGGCGUUGCAAGCGCCAUGCUCUACCAACUGAGCCACACGGGACCGAAAUAUGAAAUAUGAAAUAUGACCUAUAACUAAUUACAACAUGAGUAAAAUAGUUUUCCUUCCAAUUUUUUUAAAUGAAAUAUGUUAAAACGCAGGUUUCAUGUGUUUGAAUGGUGUGGGCAUACCCUACCACAACAACAGAAUGAUUUGGGCAUAUAAGGCUACCUGUCAUGAAAAAUAUUUAAUGCGAGUAGACCGCUGAUUGAGCAGCUCAGCCAAUGAGCAACAUGAGCCGCCAUGUUCUAUGAGGAAGCAUUUUUUAAACGUCUGUUUGAGAUUUUGCAGGUUAGCGUUUUUCGAGUCUUGUUCUGGAGGCAGCUCUGCAGUGUGGUUACUAGUAGGCCCAACCACAAAGUAAUAAAAUCACAUUUUAAACCUAAAGUACACUGCUAACCCUAAUGCCUAACCAUAACCUGAAAUUAUGACCAACAAGUUUAAUUCUGUUUCUUGCAUUUUUACAAUAUUGUCAAUUUUUACUUUGCAGCUUGCCCAUCUAGCGGGAAUCGAUCAGUUCUGCCUCAAGGACAAGACUCAUCCCAAUAAACGUCAACCUGCGUUUGAGAUACAUGUUUAUUUGUGGUGAGGUUUUUUAAGUGUGUUUUUUUUCUUCUUCAAUUUAUGUUUUGGUCACAAAAACUAGUAUAGGACGAGUCAACAACAUUAUUUGGGUAUGAGUUCACAAAAUGUUAACUUUUAAAAGUGAUGUUUUCAUUGGACAGUUUACUUUAACUCAAAGUUAAUCAAAGGUGGAGUGUAGUCUGUGUGACGGGACCAGAGGUUAUAGCAUAUAUUGAAGCUCCAAAAUCCAGCUUCGAUUCUUUACCCUAUAUGUAGCCUAAAUUGUUGAAGGGUGUCCCGUCCCCGUCCUUUGUUUUAGGAUAAAUGUUUCCUCAAGCACACGGACCGCGUCACCGUCGGGGUCGUGCCAACCGAAUGGAGAUCAUUUAUAGGUUCAAUAACUCUUAAUCCGUCUGAUCGCCCUGGUGUAGAUAAGCCUCCUUUGAAUUGGGAUUGUUCUGGAAUCUGUUCGGAUUUCGGCAUAGAGGUCCUAAUUGAGUUUACCGCAUCCCUGACUGCUGCAUCCCCCGAACACAAUUAAGGUCUUGCUCAGAUAAAGCUAACUGAACGCAGGUCCCGUCUAGAAAGAAUGCACUUUUUCAACAGUAUAUUCGUUAGACGUUUAUCUCUUUGGGGAAGAUGAUGUGUAAUGAAACGUUAUAAUGGCGUAUAGCCUAUACAUCAAACUAUAAACUGCAAUGCUAUAUUGACUGAUGCGACCAACAAAGUUUUAUUUUAUUUUUUAUUCUUAUUUACAUAUUUUAAAUACGUUUUUUGAGAUUAAGAUGCAGACAAUUUUUGGGGGUAAACAAUUUCUAGCUUUGGUAAAGUCAGUGUUCUCUAUUUAAAGUUUAGAGCCACAAGAAACACAAUAAGUAUGGUGGUAAUAUGGCCCAUAUUUGAAACUUACACACUUUCGUUCCUUCCUUAACUGAAGUAGGCCAAGCCUAUCCUAAAAAGUGCCAUGGAUGUAGGUCUAAAAUCAAUGCCAAACAAGAAAUGCUGUGCUAGGCCUAUAUGUUAAAGGGGCCAGUAUGCUGCUAACAGCUUUGCUUCCUUCACUGUCCGACUGCCACAUACUGGUUUCGAACCAGUGAUCCUCUGCUUCGCAUCGCCUUGACAACGUUCCAACGGGUUGAGCCACCCAAAAGGUACCAAUUGGACGGCUCCAUCCGCAAUAUUUGUGGAGUGAGCUCAAUGUAGAGUCUUAACUCUGUUACACAUGCCACCCAAAAGGUACCAAUUGGACGGCUCCAUCCGCAAUAUUUGUGGAGUGAGCUUAAUGUAGAGUCUUAACUCUGUUACACAUGAUGAAUUUAAACCUGAGAUCACACGCAUUUUUCUUUAAUUGACGGUGAAUGUUUUUCGCUGUCAAUCAAUACUCAACGCAAAGACAACAGGCUUGUAAUUUUUUUUUUUUUUGCAAAAGCAUCAGGCUAUGAUUUUAGGUCUAAUUUGAUAUUCUUCUAAUGUGGUCAGAAAUCCUGUUAAAGUUGUGAAAAUAUAUUAUCACAAAUGUGUUCCAAAAGAAUACAGAAGGCUGAGCUGUCAUUGUCAUAUGCGUUUCUAUUUAUGACAAUUGAACCAAGAACUUAUAAUAAUUAUUUCUAAAAUAAAUGGAGCUUAUUUCAGUAUGAACAGUGUUGUAUUCAAUCGAGGUAUAUCAUACCACAAAUAUGUCUAUGUGUAAAAAUAUAGGAUUACAUUUACUAAUUUAAGUUUUAAUGUCAGGGUCAAAUGCAGGUAACACUUUACAUAUUUAGUCUAUUGUGUUUUUCGUCCUGAUUCAGAAUAUUGUUUUUGUUGCAGUGCAUUUUGAUAAUCAAGUAUAUAUAACACUUAUCAGUUAAUAGUUUGAGUUCCACUCAUAGCCUUUAAUAAGGAAACUUUGUAUGGGCCAUAAAUGUUUGGUGAUAAAAAGUAGCCUACUAGUCUACAGUGUGGCCUAAUGGAAAGGUUUUGGAUUAGCUUGAGUGCUAUGUAGUUUACUUUUAGUAACAUUUGACUAAAUUGCUAUAAUUUUUUUAAUUAAAGAUUUAUUGGACUUGUAGGCCGAUUUCACCACCACUCUUGGAGCCUUGCCAUGUUGACGUUUGUAUUCUCCAAUGGUAACACAUAGGCAUAUAUAACAUGAACACCAAAGCUCGCCUAUACACAUCUACGUUUAUACAGCCGGACAGCCAGACGUUCCACGUGUCACGACGUCUUACUUGUGACAGUAAAGAAUAAACACCACGUGGUGGCUAUUUCCACGAGGUUAAUGGCUUUAGACUCUGUCAUAUAGAACAGAUAGCAUGCAAGGGGACGGGGCACUUUAUGAACUUGAUUAAUGGAAAUUGGCACUGAAUAUUUGCUCACUAAUAAAACCACGUCGAGAUGAACAAUAUACCCAUGUAAUGUAAACAUGCUGAAAGAUCGACUGCACACAAGUCCAACAUCAAUAAAGUAGAGGUAUUUUGGGUUACCUGUUCCAACUUCUAUAACUUCUAUGGCGGGCUACCGCCCACGCAUAUGGCCCUUGAAUGUUAUACUGCAGUAUCCCGAUGCCUCGCGCGUUUUAGAUGGUCGAAAUGCCUCGUGCACCUGUCCAAGGGGGUCUGCAAUUGAUUACAAGGGACCACGACAAGUGGACAGCUGGGGAAGCUUGUUACUCAAAAGCCACUUCCACAAGACGAUUAACUCAAUGCAUUGGUAACGGCAACUUUAAAGUUGCUAAAAUGGUGUAAAAAGUUGUAAUUUUGUAAAGUAAUUAGGCCUACAGUAUGCAUAAAGGAUUUGCGUAAACCAUUAUCAUAGGUUAUCGAUAAUGGUUAUGCGUAAAAGUUAUUGGCAACUAUCGAAUAUGUAUGUGCACUGAGAGUUCGGCUAUAGGCGUAAUUACUCAGCUGUUUUGCACCCGACCUGGCCAUUCGACAUUAUAGGUAUUAAAACGUUUGCGAUAGUAACUCCAACACAUCAACAAUAAAACACGAAUGUUUUUUUAUAUUUCCACUAGAGAUAUAUUUUAGCUUCAAGCUCAGGUAUAGCCUUAUACAUUUAUAUAGGCCUAAACGCAAAUUAAUUAAUUAGCCUAAAGCAUGUGUAAAGGUUAAUGUAACAGCACUGUGGAAUCAAAAAAGGAAAAUAGCAUAAAGGGACAAUUUUAUCCGAACCUUAUUAGUGCGUCCGUGUCUGUUUUGGACAAGCACUCUCUCAUCGAAUGUCUCAUCCAGUCACAAAUGUGAGUGGCCAGUUGCGAUAUGCUUUUAAGUCCAGUUUACUUGAACUUAGGAAAGAGGUCAAUCGUUAUGAGAGGCUAUUCGAACCCUCUUCUUGUGUGGCAUCAUGCCCCUGCACUGUCCCCAGUUGUAACUGACCGAAAUAGUGCUGCAGGAUCUCAUGAAAGCACAUUGCUCGAUGACGCACCUUUCACCCCUCUCUCCACCGGAAUUGUUUUUACCCCCAACGGUGAAAUGUGGUGAUGGUGACUUUUACAUCGACAGGUGGUAUUCGUAAAUGACCUCAUUUCACAACGAUGUUUCAUUACAACUGGUGUCAGAAGUGAGAUUAUUAUUAUUGUCUGAUUUAUAACUCUUGAGUGACUUUAAAGAUGAUUUUCGUGAUCAUAAGUCAUUUUACAGGUGAUAAACUGGGUAGCAUAUACUAUUCUUGAAUUUGACAUGUGUUGCAUAUGUUAAUACCAUAUGUCACACUUUAAACGAACUAUAACUCAAAAAGCUUUACAGGGCUUAACUUCUCAAGAGCACAACCAUAAAUGUUUUACAAAAAAUCCACGUUGACCUAAAUUGUUUCUAAGAAAUUCAUGAAAAGGCAGAGAUGGGAUUGGAAUUUUGUUGCCAAAAAUAAACCAUUGUGAAGGUUUUGUUACUAACACAAUCGGCGCUGAAGUAAUUCUGAAACUUUUAUAAACUUUUUAGGGGUGUUUUUAUGCUGAGAACUCAAGUGAGAUUUCUAAUCCAGUACACAUGGGCAAUAAAGUAUUAACUAACUUUCUGCACCGGUGCAUGCUUGCCGGGCGUGUGUUCGUUAUAUCAAUGACCAAUAAAAUAUCACUCAAUUAUGAAUCCA